CACGUAGGGUGCGAGCGUUGUCCGGAAUUACUGGGCGUAAAGCGUGCGCAGGCGGUUCGUUGUGUCGGUGGUGAAAUCCCCGGGCUUAACCUGGGAAUGGCCAUGGAAAUUGGCGAACUGGAGUGCGGCAGAGGGGGGUGGAAUUCCGCGUGUAGCAGUGAAAUGCGUAGAGAUGCGGAGGAACACCGAUGGCGAAGGCAGCCCCCUGGGCUAGCACUGACGCUCAGGCACGAAAGCGUGGGGAGCAAACAGG
Molecule: ribosomal RNA, 253 nt
Filed under: uncultured bacterium
Lineage: Bacteria
Description: partial 16S ribosomal RNA
Rfam family: Bacterial small subunit ribosomal RNA
Source: RNAcentral